CCCGUCCCCCAGUGAUGAGACAGCUGAGUAGGGGGGUACAGGGGUCCCUCCCCAGAUACCCAACAUAUACUGGAUAUAUAAUACAAGAUAACUAGAUAUAUCCAACAUCACCUAGAACUAUAUACAGCUGGAGAAUGGAUGAUCUUGAACCUAGUUAUGAGUACUCCGCUACUGGGUUCCCGGUCAACCGACCCAUUCAAUACUUCGCAAUCACCUUCAGAACUCCGAACAUAAUAAGACUGAUAAACGUUGACCAGCAUAUUGCUAGCUGUGUACAGGAGAGGGUAGAACAGCUUCUACCCCUGGAGAAGUAUGGUUAUGUUUGUUUUAGUGAUUACCAAUCAGGGUUCACUGGUCGGUUUAAUAUAUUUGAUCUGGUGCUGGAGAAACCAUUCUUCAAAGGAGAGACAGCUGUAGGCAAGGAGGAUUCAACUCUGAUCAGGGUUGCAGUUUGCAGGGUUCUGGGUGCUCUUUACUGUAUUGGGUAUGAUAUUGUGUUCUGCAGUGAUGUAUCUAGAACCCGGAGCAACGGAACCAUAUUCCUCAAGAUACGGGAUCCAGUGGUGGAUGUUAUCGCAACACAUUAUUAUUCUCAUAAGUUUGUGUGCGUAGCUCCGUACAGUACAGAUACCCUUCUCCUAAUCAAUAUACCGAAAACUAUGCUGGAAAAAGUAAUAAAGAUCAUCCAUUUAACCUGGAGCCCAGGGGUCAAAUCAAAACAAACCCUGGCAGACGACAAUAGAAGCGUGAGCGUGAUAACAAGCCUCAAGAUACACGGCAAUCCUUGGUCUCAGGCUGUAUAUAACAGUGGGAAGGCUAGUGUCCAGGCUCGACUUGUAUUCCUGGAGAUUAUCAAGAUAUUCGCGGAGAAUAAUUGGAGACUAGCUGCUAACCUCAACCUGGAGUCAACUGCAGACUCUUUAGUCUUCCAAUGGUGUCCUAACCUAGAUAUGGAUGAGUUCAGGUUUUGUGCUGUAUCCUUGAACCGAUAUGACCGGCUGCGUCUGGUUCGGACUCCUCUAGGUCUGGUUGGUGCUAUUAAGGAGGCGGUUAUCAAGCAUUGGUACCUGGGUCUGCAGAAGCAACGAGACUACCAUGGAUCUGUAGAGUUUAAACUAGGAGGGUGUCCCUGGUGGGCAGAUUCAAACGAUUCUGUAGAAUCUAGAUAUUUUGUCUCAACCCUGAUUGGUAUACUGAAAGUGAAUGGGUGGCAGGUUGCAGGAACUAUUGAUCUCACAAGGAGGAACAACGACAAAUCAACCUUUAUCCUUCGGCAGUGUGUUGCGAAGAUACAACCACAUAUGUGUAUCUCAUUAAACAAAACGAACAGGAUAAGGUUAAUAGUGAGUAGCACUGACAUAUCAGAGGAAGCUGAGCUAAGGUUGACGAGUCGGCUCAAUGAAACCAUUAAAAACUACUGGGUUGCUCUAGGUCCGAGAAAUUACGGGAAGAGCAUAGAAUGGAAACUUGAAGGAGAUCCCUGGGUUUCUGAGGGAUUGUACAGUGACUCAACCAGAGGAGUUUAUCUACUCUGUCUUAUACUCCAGGCUAUAACUCCACUUGGUUGGAGACCAACUGCAAGUGCAGAUGUGGCAUCUAAAAACUUGGACUCCAAUGAAAGGUAUUCAUACGAGGGAUUAAGUGAAGAUAUGCAUUCAUGGUUCUUCUUGUACGAUGAGAAACUUGCUGCUAGGAAUGAGGAAAUGCACAAGCAGGUUUCGUUGUCGAACAAGGAUAUUUGCUCCAGCACUUCAGUUCCUAACCUAGAGGUUGAUAGAAGUGAAGAGAACUUGUACUACGGAGAUGCCCCGACACGACCUGUGUCUGCUAGUCUCCAGAACAACCCUGAGCUGAGUAGGUCUGUUCCAGGUAUUCCAGCAGCUACAGCUGGAGCUGGUCAUCACAAUAAUCAGCAGACAACAAACUCCUGGGUUCUCAGGAAAUGUGCUCCCAGAGCUCCCGGACUGGGAAAUUUACCUCGGCAGAAAUCAUUAGACAGUAGUUUAGCUGCUGUUCAGCUUGCCAUGCAGGGAUCCUCCAACAAUACACAAGGAUCUGUAUCUAAUAUUUACAACCAGUCUUUGUACAACUCUACAUUCUCUACUUUCCGUGGGAAGGAGAGACAUUGCUACGCAACAAGACAUGGAGAAAGAAGGAAACAUGAAGGAAAACAUGCAGUUACAAACAUGGAUGGAUACAAAUCAGAUGGAUAUAAAUCAGAUGGAUACAAAUCCGACGGAGAUGGGUAUAAGAGUGAUGGAGCUGGAUACAAGAGUGACGGAGAACGUGUCAAGCAUAGAGCUAGAUACUCCAGUCCUGCUAAACAACCCAGUAAAUACGAGCAGGAUAGGCUGACCACUCGCCGACUCCAGGCUAACGGAGAUCAGAUGAAAACCCAAAUAAGAGCUCAUGACUAUAACCGGGAUAUUCCAGUCAAUCGAGAACAGGUUGCAAGCCGGAGCAGCAGCAGGGGCGGAUACAGAAGCGAUCCAGAACAUGAAAUAGAAAUACAGCUUCAGUGCAUGGGAUCCCAGCAUGAUGAUUCAGGGGGUAGUCAGCACAGCCAGAGAGGAUACAGUGUGGACGAGGAAGAUAAAGGAGACUGGACAAGACAGGAGCAAGCGCUGAGAAGUCAGGAACCGUUAGAAUCUAGAUCGCACAGCAGGAACGGAUACAAGAGUGAUGGAAGCUUACAGGAGUCCCCUCUCCAUCCCCAGAUUGGAAAGUGUGAAGGAAUGCAUCCUGCAGGAUGCAACAACAGCAGGGGUAUGCGUAGGGGGUUUCUUCAGGGUAGCAUGCAAAGUCAUUCCUCGUCUCAUUUGAACACUCACUACACAAAUCAGCAUCAGAGGUUGCUGAUGCAUCCGACUAAACAUCUGGAGGCAUCACGUUCAUUUCAUACUUUCCAGAGACAAGAAUCCACAACCUCAUUCCACUCAACUCACAGUGCUCCAAACCCACCUCAUCACAACCAAAAUCUGAUGGUUAAUAAUAUCGAGUCAGCAUCACAAGCUAGCACACACUCCCACUCAUCCUCGUCUUCCGCUAGCGUUGGCCCACCUGAAUACAGCGCAGUUAUUCAUCCUCCACCUACUUACGAUCAAGCUCUUAUCAAGCUAGAUAUAGCAAUGAGACGGAGAGCAGCAAAUAAGAACAGAAUUGCACAGCAGCAUAAAGGUACCUAUAACAGUCUUCACUACGUUGGAGAAUUUUAUGGAUAGCAAUCAGAGUUAGGGGUUCAAGAUCAUCAGAGAUAAGAACCUCAGGAUUGUAGAGAUAAAGGAGUAUAGGGACUACAGAAAAGUAAAGUUAUGGAGGAUAGGAGUUUCAGGGUAGCACAGGUAUAGGGUUACAGGGUAGCAGAGGUACAAAGUUACAAGGUAGCAGUGAUAUGGGGUUAUAGGAUCGAUACCAGAGGUACAGGGUUACAGGAUAGCAGAGGUACAGGGUUACAGGAUAGCAGAGGUACAGGGUCGCAGGUAAAAAGAGGUACAGAGUUCCGGAGGUUUACAGAGUUAAAGGAUACCAAAGGUACAGGAUUCCAGGAUAGCAGAGGUAUAGGAUUACAAGUGCAUAUAUAUAGGGUUACAUGUUAGCAGAGGUACAGGGUUACAGGAUACCAGAGUUUUAGGGUGACAAGACAGUAGAGGUUUAGGGUUACAGGAUCGUAGAGGUAUGUGGCUCCAGAAUAAUAAAUGUAAAGGGCUUCGGUAUAGUAUAUGUACAGGGCUCCAGGAUAGUAUAUGAAAAGGGCUCUCGGAUAGUAUUUAAAAAGGGCUCCAGGAUAGCAUAUGAAUAGGGCUCCGGGAUAGUAUAUAGAGGGCUCCAGGAUAGUAUAUGAAAAGGGCUCCCGGAUAGUAUUUGAAAAGGGCUCCAGGAUAGUAUAUGAAUAGGGGUUCAGGAUAGUAUAUAGAGGGCUCCAGGGUAGUAUAUAUAGGGCUCCGGGAUAGUAUAUGUACAGGGCUCCGGGAUAGUAUAUGAAUAGGGCUUUGGGAUAGUAUAUAUAGGGCUCCAGGGUAGUAUAUGAAUAGGGCUCUGGGAUAGUAUAUGUACAGGGCUCCGGGAUAGCAUAUGAACAGGGCUCCAGGAUAGUAUAUAUAUAGGGCUCCAGGAUAGUAUAUAUACAGGGCUCCAGGAUAGUAUAUGAAUAGGGCUCCAGGAUAGCAUAAUGAAUAGGGCUCCGGGAUAGUAUAUGUACAGGGCUCCGGGAUAGUAUAUGGAUAGGGCUCCGGGAUAGCAUAUGUAUAGGGCUCCAGGAUAGUAUAUGAAUAGGGCUCCGGGAUAGUAUAUGGAUAGGGCUCGAGGAUAGUAUAUGUACAGGGUUUUAAGAUAAUAGAGACAUGAAGAAUUAUGAGUUGGUAGAACAGGAAGGAUGUAUAAGGUGAUGCAGAAAGGAAAGAAAGUGUGUUGUAAGAUGAACCCCUGAUCUGGAUUUCUGUAAAGAUUAGUUUGUUAGAUACAUAUUUGCUCUUGUGGGAGAGAUAGUUGAUGCAUUGCUUUUUUCAACCCAAUUUUUUCAUAAUGCGUCUAGCACGCCAAUACCCUGAGCUUUUUCUUACUGUAAAGAUACCCAUAUUUAUAUAUAUAUAUAUUGAUCAUCUACAUUGCAAUAUUGCAUGUUUGAAAAGAUGCAUGCUCAGAGCAAAAAAAUUUAAAUCAUCCAAAAUUUAAAAUAAUUUCUAACAAUAAUUAAAAUAUGUAAACUAUUGUGAAAACU
Eurytemora carolleeae is the source of this 4717-nucleotide RNA transcript. RefSeq lists it as uncharacterized. The transcript has 15 exons. The record is from RefSeq and is a predicted model, not a curated record. NCBI's taxonomy places the organism in Eukaryota, Metazoa, Arthropoda, Copepoda, Calanoida, Temoridae.